This is a long non-coding RNA of Gallus gallus (chicken), 712 nucleotides long. The record is from Ensembl. Lineage: Eukaryota; Metazoa; Chordata; Aves; Galliformes; Phasianidae.
UUAUAACUUCAGCAGAGCCAAAAGCCCGCAGAUGGUGAGCUGUGUUGUCUGAGCAUCAGGAGCUAUCAGAACUGCAGCUGUUUGAAAUAUCAGUCACACAGUCCUGGGCUCUGCACUGAAGGAUAUUCAGGAAGCACGCAACAAAGGACAGAGUAACAAGUACAUGGUGUACAUGCUGAUCCUAGGCAGGUGACACUGCUACAGCUUUACAGAGAAAUAGAUGAAGACCUGUAGAGAGAGUGGUGAGGCAGUUCACAACCAAGCCUCUAUGAUAACAAUGCCUGCAAGUAAAUAACCAUUCUGUAUAAUUUUACUCCUGCAUUUAUUCAAUAUGAGACUUCUCUAUGAGUAAUAGAACGUACUUGUAAGUGAAAAAAUAACCACUGGGGUUUCUUGCCAGGGGUAUUUUUAACUUCUGUCCCUGUCCUAAUGUAGUUCACAGUAAUCAAACCUCAUCUGAGCAUGGCUGGGAGCAUGGAGCAGGAAAUGGGCAGAUGGGGCAGAAAUUGCUUAAGACAAGAUAAUCAAAAGAAACGUCCAUCUGAUAAGAGCUACAGGAGAUUUUUUUCUCAGAAGAAUUUUUUUCUCUCAUUGCCCAGUGAAUGCUUGCUAGUCUCAGAGCUCAUUCCACAUCUCCUUUGGCAGUGUCGAUUGGAGACCUGGCAGUAGGGCACUAGUAGAGAUGGCUAGGAAUGGUAAGGUGUACAAAAAG